Molecule: ribosomal RNA, 164 nt
Filed under: uncultured bacterium
Lineage: Bacteria
Description: partial 16S rRNA
Rfam family: Bacterial small subunit ribosomal RNA
Source: RNAcentral
UAGGGAAUCUUCCACAAUGGGCGAAGGCCUGAUGGAGCAACGCCGCGUGUGUGAUGAAGGCUUUCGGGUCGUAAAGCACUGUUGUAUGGGAAGAACAGCUAGAAUAGGAAAUGAUUUUAGUUUGACGGUACCAUACCAGAAAGGGACGGCUAAAUACGUGCCAG